CACGUAGGGCGCAAGCGUUGUCCGGAAUUAUUGGGCGUAAAGAGCUCGUAGGCGGUCUGUUGCGUCCGCUGUGAAAACUCGGGGCUUAACCCCGAGCCUGCAGUGGAUACGGGCAGACUAGAGGUAGGUAGGGGAGAAUGGAAUUCCCGGUGUAGCGGUGAAAUGCGCAGAUAUCAGGAAGAACACCGGUGGCGAAGGCGGCUCUCUGGGCCUUACCUGACGCUGAGGAGCGAAAGCGUGGGGAGCAAACAGG
RNAcentral lists this ribosomal RNA (253 nucleotides) under uncultured bacterium. RNAcentral describes it as "partial 16S ribosomal RNA". It matches the Rfam family "Bacterial small subunit ribosomal RNA", at positions 524 to 776 of the family's 1533-position model. The record is from RNAcentral.